GUAUUUAAAAGCAGCAUCUGUUAUUAAUUGGCAAUCAGAGCGUUGAAAGCACAAAAAGAAUGCUAUCUAUAACUUUGUUAUUGUUUACCGGCCUGGGUGCGGUAGUUGUUAGUGCGGAGCUUGACAAUACUGUGGUUUCAAAGUCUUUCAAGGUAUCGUUGGACAGUUCAAGCUUGGAAUGGUGGCAGACCGCAGUGUUUUAUCAAAUUUACCCGAGGAGUUUCAAAGACAGUAAUAAUGAUGGCAGUGGAGACCUACAAGGAAUAAUCCAAAAACUUGACCAUAUCCAAGACGCGGGAGUAGAUGCAAUUUGGCUGUCUCCUGUAUACAAAUCUCCUCAAGUCGAUAACGGUUAUGACAUUUCAGACUAUCGUGACAUCGACGAAAUAUACGGUACAUUAGAUGAUUUGAGACAACUGGUAGAUGAAGCACACAACCGUAGUAUUAAAGUAAUCCUAGAUUACGUUCCCAAUCACACCAGUGAUCAACACGCCUGGUUCCAAGCCUCUUUGAAAAACGAAUCUGGAUACGCUGACUACUAUGUCUGGAAAGAUGCGGUGAUUGUCAACGGAACCAAAACUCCACCAAACAACUGGCUGAGUGGAUUCGGAGGAUCUGCAUGGGAAUGGAGUGAACAGAGACAGCAGUACUACUUGCACCAGUUCUCAACUGGACAACCUGACCUAAACUACCGCAAUCCCACAGUAGUAAACGAAAUGAAAGACGUUUUAAGGUACUGGCUUGACUUUGGAAUUGACGGUUUCAGAAUGGACGCCGUUCCAACUAUAUUUGAAGAUGCAGAUUUCAGAGACGAACCUCUAUCAGGAGAUAACGUAGAUCCAGACAACUAUAAUUACUUAGAACACAUUUACACAACGAUCUAAACGAAACAAUCGAAAUGAUCUAUCAGUUCAGGGCUGUCUUGGACGAGUUCAACCAGAACAGUUCGUAUCCAAGGAUCAUGAUGACCGAGGUUUACAGCGAUAUAGAAACGACAAUGAGGUACUAUGGUACAAAAGACGGUUCCGUUUUGGGAGCACAUUUCACCUUCAAUUUCGAGACGUUCAUUAUGAGCCUUAGACUUGGUUUUAACGCGUUCGAGUUAUUGGACGCUGUGAAAUAUUGGUACGAUUAUAUUCCGUUGUAUUACACUAAUAACUGGGUGUUAGGAAACCAUGAUCAGAACAGAGUUGCGACAAGACUAGGACCAGAAAAUAUCGAUUUUCUAAAUAUGUUUGUAGCUCUUUUACCCGGAAUUCAGGUUACCUACAAUGGAGAGGAGAUUGGGCAAGAAAACGGUGAAGUUACUUGUCAAGAAGGCUAUGAUCCCCAAGCAAUAAAGAACUGUACCACUUUCAAUGAAACCAGCAGAGAUUUCGAGAGAACCCCAUACCAGUGGAAUUCCGAGGUUAACGCAGGAUUUAAUGAGGGAGCCAAAACCUGGUUACCUGUCAGCAAAGAAUACCUCGAAACUAACCUCGAGGCUCAACUAUCCGAAGAUGUUAAUAGUCAUUACAACAUCUAUAAAGAAAUGGUGGAGUUGAGGCGUGUUUUCCAAAACGAGGACGGGUUUUGGACUUAUAUGUCGGCCAACAUAGACAAUUUCUUCGUCUACCGACGAUACAGGCUUGACACCAACGACACGUACACCAUUCUCUUUAACAUAAAUGAGAAAGAACAAGUUGUUCCUGAUAGUUAUAUUCUAUCAGACACCGCUGUCGUUUUGGUUAGGAACAGUUACAGUGACUAUGUCCCAGGAGAUCAUUUUAACAGAAAUCUCACAAUGAAAAGCAGAGAAGCAGUUUUGUUCAAGGAUGUUUAUAAUAUAUAAUUUAUUUGAUGUAAUUAGUAAAAGUUAAUGAAUAAAAUUAGUACGUUAUUAUAAUUAA
This is an RNA transcript of Sitophilus oryzae (rice weevil), 1889 nucleotides long. It is a transcript of the gene named maltase 2-like, with no coding region annotated. The record is from RefSeq and is a predicted model, not a curated record. Lineage: Eukaryota; Metazoa; Arthropoda; Insecta; Coleoptera; Curculionidae. The transcript is spliced from 9 exons.